Molecule: ribosomal RNA, 456 nt
Filed under: uncultured bacterium
Lineage: Bacteria
Description: bacterial SSU rRNA
Rfam family: Bacterial small subunit ribosomal RNA
Source: RNAcentral
AACGAACGCUGGCGGCGCGCCUAAUACAUGCAAGUCGAGCGAGAAGACGUAGCAAUACGUUUGUAAAGCGGCGAACGGGUGAGGAAUACAUGGGUAACCUACCCUCGAGUGGGGAAUAACUAGCCGAAAGGUUAGCUAAUACCGCGUACGCUCCUUGGACUUCGGUUCAGGGAGGAAAGCGAUACCGUGGGUAUCGCGCUCUUGGAUGGGCUCAUGUCCUAUCAGCUUGUUGGGAGGUAACGGCUCACCAAGGCUUCGACGGGUAGCUGGUCUGAGAGGACGAUCAGCCACACUGGCACUGCGACACGGGCCAGACUCCUACGGGAGGCAGCAGUAAGGAAUAUUGCGCAAUGGGCGAAAGCCUGACGCAGCGACGCCGCGUGGGGGAUGAAGGUCUUCGGAUUGUAAACCCCUUUCGGGAGGGAAGAUGGAACGAGCAAUCGUUCGGACGGUACC